Molecule: long non-coding RNA, 610 nt
Organism: Eriocheir sinensis (Chinese mitten crab)
Lineage: Eukaryota; Metazoa; Arthropoda; Malacostraca; Decapoda; Varunidae
Exons: 3
Source: RefSeq, a predicted model, not a curated record
CUCAAGACCGACGCUGAUUGGCUGAGAGGAAACGUGUUAUGAUUCUCGUGUUUAUUACUACUACUACUACUACUACUACUACUACUACUACUACUACUACUUCUAUGACCAUUCCUUCUCCUACUACGAGAAUCAGCGCCCUCACAAACCUACCAUUCCUCCCCUCACAAGCCCUACUUCUACAACCGACCUACUGCCACCACCACUACUUAUAACACUACGAAUUCUACUUUACAGCCUUGCAAGUGACUUCAGCGGCUCUCUGUCCCCCGCCUGCUGUUCCUAUCAACUGUAAAGUGGAAGAUGCUGGAGAAACUGCUACUUAUACGUGUGAUGAAGGCUACACGUUAUUCGGACCUUCCACGCGAUCUUGCAACUCCGCUGGGAUCUGGGAUGGGAACCUACCGAUUUGUGCUACCAACAUCGCCUACCUUCGACCGGCCAACCAGAGCUCAACCACAAGGGGGGCAGAGCCAUUCAAGGCCAACGAUGGGAUAAACUCGCAUUUGCACGAAGGAAAUCAGUGUGCCGUUACCCAGGCUGAGACAUCCCCGUGGUGGAAGGUCGACCUACUACAAGAAUACACGGUUGUUGUGGUUGUCGUCACUAC